GGGGGAACCAAUUUAAUUUAAAUAAAAAAAACAGAAAGGAAAAAUAAAAAAAAUUCAAGAAAAAAUUUUGGGUCUAAUAACGGAUGAAAUCGGGUACACUAAAUUAAAAAAAAUGUUGAAAAUUUCAAUCUUUUCAAUCUAUUGGGUAGAAAAGAGGAUUAGAUACCCUCGUAUUCAAUAUAAAAAAGUUAGUAGUAGUAGAGUGGCAUAAAUUCGAAACUAAAAAAAAAUGGCGGUGUUUCUUAGACCGUUCGGAGGAACUUGUCUCUUAAUCGAUAAUCCCCGAAGAGAAUCACUAUGGAAUUUAAAAAUUUGUAUACCGUUGUUGUCAGAAAAUUUUAUAAAAAAAUUGUAAACUUUCUUGACCCUAAUCAAAGAGGAAUAAUUCAAAUCAAGGUGCAGUUUACGCCAUAGAGAAGAUGAGUUACAAUAACUUAAAAAGUUAAACGAACUUUAAUUUGAAAUAAAUUUUAGGAAGGUGGAUUCGAAAGUAAUUUUUAUACCUUAGAGUAAAAAAAUGAGUGAGGCUCUGAAACAUGUACACAUCGCCCGUCGCU
RNAcentral lists this ribosomal RNA (557 nucleotides) under Chelidurella acanthopygia. Its description in RNAcentral is "Chelidura acanthopygia partial 12S ribosomal RNA". The record is from RNAcentral. Lineage: Eukaryota; Metazoa; Arthropoda; Insecta; Dermaptera; Forficulidae.